Non-coding RNA from Arachis ipaensis, 316 nucleotides. The record is from RefSeq and is a predicted model, not a curated record. NCBI's taxonomy places the organism in Eukaryota, Viridiplantae, Streptophyta, Magnoliopsida, Fabales, Fabaceae.
GUGUGGUUCUGCCGCCCGCGAAGCGAGCCCAGGAAGGCGGUGACUGAGCUUGAGACGGUGAGGACACAGAGCGCGACGAGCUUGAUUCCAAAACGGUGAGUGCCAGACCGAGAGAGAAGUGACACACCGGAGACGAGAGUGGCGAGAGGCGUUGAGGCUUGAGGGUAGGAGUGGGUCACUGCGGAUCAGAUUAGGGGAUUUGGGUUUCGGGGUGGGGUCGAGAGAGCAGAGAGACGAGUUUAAUGAAAACCCGAUUCGGUCACCGGGUUUAAUGAAAACCCGUCGGGUCAAUUAACUAAGAAAAAGCACCGAGGAU